CCCUUAGAUGUUCUGGGCCGCACGCGCGCUACACUGAUGCAUUCAACGAGUCUAAAACCUGGUCUGAUAGGGCUGGGUAAUCUUUUGAAAGUGCAUCGUGAUUGGGAUAGAUGAUUGCAAUUCUUCAUCUUCAACGAGGAAUGCCUAGUAAACGCGAGUCAUCAGCUUGCAUUGAUUACGUCCCUGCCCUUUGUACACACCGCCCGUCGCUCCUACCGAUUGAAUGAUCCGAUGAAUACCAUGGAUUGAGAGUACGAAUGGGUUCGCUCAUUUCUGCUGCUCGAGAAGUGGAGUAAAUCUUAUCAUUUAGAGGAAGGAGAAGUCGUAACA
RNAcentral lists this ribosomal RNA (330 nucleotides) under uncultured eukaryote. Its description in RNAcentral is "partial 18S ribosomal RNA". It matches the Rfam family "Eukaryotic small subunit ribosomal RNA", at positions 1470 to 1796 of the family's 1831-position model. The record is from RNAcentral.